RNAcentral lists this transfer RNA (77 nucleotides) under Alphaproteobacteria bacterium. Its description in RNAcentral is "tRNA-Arg". It matches the Rfam family "tRNA". From Rfam's summary of the family: Transfer RNA (tRNA) molecules are approximately 80 nucleotides in length. Their secondary structure includes four short double-helical elements and three loops (D, anti-codon, and T loops). Lineage: Bacteria; Pseudomonadati; Pseudomonadota; Alphaproteobacteria. The record is from RNAcentral.
GCACCCAUAGCUCAGUUGGAUAGAGCGCUGCCCUCCGAAGGCAGAGGUCGCACGUUCGAGUCGUGCUGGGUGCACCA